Molecule: transfer RNA, 63 nt
Filed under: Micrura ignea
Lineage: Eukaryota; Metazoa; Nemertea; Pilidiophora; Heteronemertea; Lineidae
Description: tRNA-Leu
Source: RNAcentral
GCUAGGGUGGCAGAUAAGUGCGACAGAUUUAAGCUCUGGGUAUGGAGGCUUGUUCGUAAAGUG